Small nuclear RNA from Macaca fascicularis (crab-eating macaque), 63 nucleotides. Its record names the gene U7. It matches the Rfam family "U7 small nuclear RNA". From Rfam's summary of the family: Animal histone pre-mRNAs are spliced by a different mechanism than nuclear pre-mRNAs and self-splicing introns. This processing involves the U7 snRNP, which contains only one RNA species: U7. The record is from Ensembl. Lineage: Eukaryota; Metazoa; Chordata; Mammalia; Primates; Cercopithecidae.
AAGUGUUACAGCCCUUUUUAGAUUUUCUCUAGCAGGCUUUCCAGUUUUUAUCAAAAAACCCUU